AACGCAAAUUGCGCUCUCGGGAUAGGCCUGAGAGCACGCCUCUUUGAGUAUCGAUUCCACCACCUCCGGAACAAACUGAUUUCGAUUGGUUUUGACACUGGGAAUUUGAGUGGUUUCAUAUCUUCGGAUGUGUCACUUGAAGCGGAAUGGAAUUGAGGGUCCUGCGAAACUGCUGUUGAAUAUCAGUUUGCUGAAGUGGACUUGAACAUGGAUAAAUUUCCAAUGAUCAAUAAACUUUGGCUAUGUUGAUAUGAGCGAAUACUAAGUUUUGCAAACAAAAAGCCCUCUGCUAACUAAUAUCUUAACAAAUCUAAGAAUUAGAUCUCAAAUGAAGCGAGACAACCCGCUGAACUUAA
This 356-nucleotide unclassified non-coding RNA is filed under the name uncultured fungus. Its description in RNAcentral is "sequence contains ITS2". Lineage: Eukaryota; Fungi. The record is from RNAcentral.